Molecule: ribosomal RNA, 424 nt
Filed under: uncultured bacterium
Lineage: Bacteria
Description: bacterial SSU rRNA
Rfam family: Bacterial small subunit ribosomal RNA
Source: RNAcentral
ACUCCUACGGGAGGCAGCAGUGGGGAAUAUUGCACAAUGGGCGCAAGCCUGAUGCAGCCAUGCCGCGUGUAUGAAGAAGGCCCUUCGGGUUGUAAAGUACUUUCAGCAGUGAGGAAGGCGGGUACGUUAAUAGCGUGCUUGUUUGACGUUAGCUGCAGAAGAAGCACCGGCUAACUCCGUGCCAGGCAGCCGCGGUAAUACGGAGGGUGCGAGCGUUAAUCGGAAUUACUGGGCGUAAAGCGCAUGCAGGUGGUUUGUUAAGUCAGAUGUGAAAGCCCGGGGCUCAACCUCGGAAUUGCAUUUGAAACUGGCAGACUAGAGUACUGUAGAGGGGGGUAGAAUUUCAGGUGUAGCGGUAGAAAUGCGUAGAGAUCUGAAGGAAUACCGGUGGCGAAGGCGGCCCCCUGGACAGAUACUGACACUC